GAAGAUUUGAACAGACUAAAUCUGGAAGAUAGGCAGGGACAGAAUGAGGUCUGCUAGAUCUUCUAAGAAGAGGAUGAUUAGAAGACGGAGCAGAAGAAAUAAGAGUAUGAGAGGGCAGAGGAGAAAUUGAAACAUCAGAAGAAAGAUUUGGAGUGAAAAUAGAAGAAGAAGAAGAAGAAGAAGAAGAAGUGGUUGAAAUAGAGGGUAUAGAAGGGAAGAAGGAACAACAGUAGGAUUAGGCAUAGACGAAGGUGAAUCACAAGAAAAGUGCUCAGGAGAAAGAG
This 284-nucleotide long non-coding RNA is filed under the name Nicotiana benthamiana. RNAcentral describes it as "long non-coding RNA (NBEN_LNC005577)". The record is from RNAcentral. Lineage: Eukaryota; Viridiplantae; Streptophyta; Magnoliopsida; Solanales; Solanaceae.